Molecule: ribosomal RNA, 492 nt
Filed under: uncultured bacterium
Lineage: Bacteria
Description: partial 16S ribosomal RNA
Rfam family: Bacterial small subunit ribosomal RNA
Source: RNAcentral
AGUGAACGCUGGCGGUAGGCCUAACACAUGCAAGUCGAACGGCAGCACAGUAAGAGCUUGCUCUUACGGGUGGCGAGUGGCGGACGGGUGAGGAAUACAUCGGAAUCUACUUUUUCGUGGGGGAUAACGUAGGGAAACUUACGCUAAUACCGCAUACGACCUACGGGUGAACGCAGGGGAUCUUCGGACCUUGCGCGAUUGAAUGAGCCGAUGUCGGAUUAGCUAGUUGGCGGGGUAAAGGCCCACCAAGGCGACGAUCCGUAGCUGGUCUGAGAGGAUGAUCGUCCACACUGGAACUGAGACACGGUCCAGACUCCUACGGGAGGCAGCAGUGGGGAAUAUUGGACAAUGGGCGCAAGCCUGAUCCAGCCAUACCGCGUGGGUGAAGAAGGCCUUCGGGUUGUAAAGCCCUUUUGUUGGGAAAGAAAAGCAGCAGGUUAAUACCCCGCUGUUCUGACGGUACCCAAAGAAUAAGCACCGGCUAACUUCGUG